UGGAGGACCGAACCGACUAAUGUUGAAAAAUUAGCGGAUGACCUGUGGCUGGGGGUGAAAGGCCAAUCAAACCGGGAGAUAGCUGGUUCUCCCCGAAAGCUAUUUAGGUAGCGCCUCGUGAAUUCAUCUCCGGGGGUAGAGCACUGUUUCGGCUAGGGGGCCAUCCCGGCUUACCAACCCGAUGCAAACUGCGAAUACCGGAGAAUGUUAUCACGGGAGACACACGGCGGGUGCUAACGUCCGUCGUGAAGAGGGAAACAACCCAGACCGCCAGCUAAGGUCCCAAAGUCAUGGUUAAGUGGGAAACGAUGUGGGAAGGCCCAGACAGCCAGGAUGUUGGCUUAGAAGCAGCCAUCAUUUAAAGAAAGCGUAAUAGCUCACUGGUCGAGUCGGCCUGCGCGGAAGAUGUAACGGGGCUAAACCAUGCACCGAAGCUGCG
RNAcentral lists this ribosomal RNA (439 nucleotides) under Salmonella enterica subsp. enterica serovar Paratyphi B var. L(+) tartrate +. RNAcentral describes it as "partial 23S ribosomal RNA". It matches the Rfam family "Bacterial large subunit ribosomal RNA", at positions 767 to 1204 of the family's 2925-position model. Lineage: Bacteria; Pseudomonadati; Pseudomonadota; Gammaproteobacteria; Enterobacterales; Enterobacteriaceae. The record is from RNAcentral.